UGACGGGGGGCCCCUGACUCAACCUCGCCGCCCGGAACCUAACCUUAGGGUAAAAAGGCCCUAAAACCCUAGAAGGACGAUAAGACCCUAUAAAACUUUACUACCCCAGGUCAACCUCCUAAGAUCAUCCACCCGACCUCCGUAGUUAAGCUGGGGCGGCCAACCCCCACCGGGGGGUAUACCUAACACCCUGCGUGAUCCCACGAACCCAUUUCAGUAGGAAGAUCAAGUUACUUUAGGGAUAACAGCGCAAUGGCCCCGUAGAGCCCCUAUCGAUGGGGCCGCUUGCGACCUCGAUGUUGAAUUGGGGACCUACCUGGGGCAGCCCCCGGGUGUUGGAAGUCUGUUCGACUUAUAACCCCCCACAUGAU
This 371-nucleotide ribosomal RNA is filed under the name Excirolana chiltoni. Its description in RNAcentral is "partial 16S ribosomal RNA". It matches the Rfam family "Archaeal large subunit ribosomal RNA", at positions 2079 to 2673 of the family's 2987-position model. Lineage: Eukaryota; Metazoa; Arthropoda; Malacostraca; Isopoda; Cirolanidae. The record is from RNAcentral.